AGCUCCAAUAGCGUAUAUUAAAAUUGUUGGCGUUAAAAAGCUCGUAGUCGAACUUCGGCGGUUGGAAGCCGGUCCGCUUUUAACGAGUGUGUACUGGAUCUUCUAGCCGCUUUACCUCCUGGUGAACUAGCUUGGCGUUUACUCGUCGAGUUAGGGAACCCGGACAGUUACUUUGAAAAAAAUUAGAGUGUUCAAAGCAGGCAUGUUUGCCCGAAUAUCUUAGCAUGGAAUAAUAGAAUAGGACGUGCACGCCUAUUGUGUUGGUCUCUAGGUGUGCCGUAAUGAUGAAUAGGGGCGGUUGGGGGCAUUUGUAUUCAAUUGCUAGAGGUGAAAUUCUUGGAUUUAUUGAAGACAAACUACUGCGAAAGCAUUUGCCAAGGACGCUUUCA
This 389-nucleotide ribosomal RNA is filed under the name uncultured fungus. RNAcentral describes it as "SSU rRNA". It matches the Rfam family "Eukaryotic small subunit ribosomal RNA", at positions 587 to 972 of the family's 1831-position model. Lineage: Eukaryota; Fungi. The record is from RNAcentral.